RNAcentral lists this ribosomal RNA (549 nucleotides) under uncultured Glomeromycotina. RNAcentral describes it as "SSU rRNA". It matches the Rfam family "Eukaryotic small subunit ribosomal RNA", at positions 548 to 1098 of the family's 1831-position model. The record is from RNAcentral. Lineage: Eukaryota; Fungi; Glomeromycota.
UUGGAGGGCAAGUCUGGUGCCAGCAGCCGCGGUAAUUCCAGCUCCAAUAGCGUAUAUUAAAGUUGUUGCAGUUAAAAAGCUCGUAGUUGAAUUUCGGGAUCAGCAGGUUGGUCGUGCCUCUGGUAUGCACUGGUUUCGCUGAUUCCUCCUUUCUGAAGAACUGUAAUGUCAUUAAUUUGGUGUUGCAGGGAAACAGGACUGUUACUUUGAAAAAAUUAGAGUGUUUAAAGCAGGCUAACGCUUGAAUACAUUAGCAUGGAAUAAUGAAAUAGGACGUUUGAUCCUAUUUUGUUGGUUUCUAGGAUUGACGUAAUGAUUAAUAGGGAUAGUUGGGGGCAUUAGUAUUCAAUUGUCAGAGGUGAAAUUCUUGGAUUUAUUGAAGACUAACUACUGCGAAAGCAUUUGCCAAGGAUGUUUUCAUUAAUCAAGAACGAAAGUUAGGGGAUCGAAGACGAUCAGAUACCGUCGUAGUCUUAACCAUAAACUAUGCCGACUAGGGAUCGGGUGAUGUUAAUUUUUUAAUGACUCAUUCGGCGCCUUACGGGAAAC